This 546-nucleotide ribosomal RNA is filed under the name Pseudomonas fluorescens. RNAcentral's name for it is "partial 16S ribosomal RNA". Lineage: Bacteria; Pseudomonadati; Pseudomonadota; Gammaproteobacteria; Pseudomonadales; Pseudomonadaceae. The record is from RNAcentral.
UCGUUUACGGCGUGGCUCCAGGGAUCUAAUCCUGUUUGCUCCCACGCUUUCGCACCUCAGUGUCAGUAUCAGUCCAGGUGGUCGCCUUCGCCACUGGUGUUCCUUCCUAUAUCUACGCAUUUCACCGCUACACAGGDAAUUCCACCACCCUCUACCAUACUCUAGCUCGACAGUUUUGAAUGCAGUUCCCAGGUUGAGCCCGGGGAUUUCACAUCCAACUUAACGAACCACCUACGBGCGCUUUACGCCCAGUAAUUCCGAUUAACGCUUGCACCCUCUGUAUUACCGCGGCUGCUGGCACAGAGUUAGCCGGUGCUUAUUCUGUCGGUAACGUCAAAACACUAACGUAUUAGGUUAAUGCCCUUCCUCCCAACUUUAAGUGCUUUACAAUCCGWAGACCUUCUUCACACACGCGGCAUGGCUGGAUCAGGCUUUCGCCCAUUGUCCAAUAUUCCCCACUGCUGCCUCCCGURGGGUCUGGACCGUGUCUCAGUUCCAGUGUGACUGAUCAUCCUCUCAGACCAGUUACGGAUCGUCGCCUUGGUG